GGGUGCGAUCAUACCAGCGUUAAUGCACCGGAUCCCAUCAGAAAUUCGUAGUUAAGCGUGCUUGGGCCAUAGUGGUACUGGGAUGGGUGACCUCCAGGGAAGUCCUGGUGUUUCACCCU
Non-coding RNA from Picea glauca (white spruce), 119 nucleotides. NCBI's taxonomy places the organism in Eukaryota, Viridiplantae, Streptophyta, Pinopsida, Pinales, Pinaceae. The record is from Rfam.